Molecule: ribosomal RNA, 439 nt
Filed under: uncultured Bacillota bacterium
Lineage: Bacteria; Bacillati; Bacillota
Description: bacterial SSU rRNA
Rfam family: Bacterial small subunit ribosomal RNA
Source: RNAcentral
GUGGUUUAAUUCGAAGCAACGCGAAGAACCUUACCAGGUCUUGACAUCCUUUUGAAUGGUCUAGAGAUAGAUCAGGCCUUCGGGACAGAAGAGACAGGUGGUGCAUGGUUGUCGUCAGCUCGUGUCGUGAGAUGUUGGGUUAAGUCCCGCAACGAGCGCAACCCUUAUCAUUAGUUGCUAACAUUCAGUUGAGAACUCUAAUGAGACUGCCAGUGAUAAACUGGAGGAAGGUGGGAUGACGUCAAAUCAUCAUGCCCCUUAUGACCUGGGCUACACACGUGCUACAAUGGCCGGUACAAAGAGUUGCGAAACUGUGAAGUUAAGCUAAUCUCAUAAAGCCGGUCUCAGUUCGGAUUGUAGUCUGCAACUCGACUACAUGAAGUCGGAAUCGCUAGUAAUCGCGAAUCAGAAUGUCGCGGUGAAUACGUUCUCGAGUCUU